Molecule: long non-coding RNA, 1090 nt
Filed under: Oncorhynchus kisutch (coho salmon)
Lineage: Eukaryota; Metazoa; Chordata; Actinopteri; Salmoniformes; Salmonidae
Description: lncRNA (ENSOKIG00005030363.1)
Source: RNAcentral
CAUUCAACAGAGCCAUUAAGAAGCACCUUAAAAAGCAGCAGGGUUGUUUAGAGGUCAGCUCUGCUCUUGAGUACAGUCAUUUCCUCCCUUAAGUUGAAUCCCACUCAAGUCCCGUUGCUCUUGGCUGUGUGCUUGUCUUGGGUGUCUGGCGACUGCCUUUCAGGACCUCCACAGGCAGAGGCAGUGUCCCAAAGCAUACCCUAUCCCUUAUACUUCAUGUUUAAAAACAUAUAGCCAGGCAAGAACAAAUUCUUAUUUACAAUGACAGCCAACCGGGGAACAGUGGGUUAACUCAGGGGCAGAACGGCAGAUUUUUACCUUGUGAUCCAGCAACCUUUCGGGUUACUGGUCCAACACUCUAGGAUACCUGCCGCCCCGUAUAUAGUGCAAUACCUUUGACCAGAGCCCAUAGUGCACUAUUUGAUGUAUUUUACCUUUAUUUAACCAGGCAAGUCAGUUAAGAACAAAUUCUUAUUUUCAAUGACGGCCUAGGAACAGUGGGUUAACUGCCUGUUCAGGGGCAGAACGACAGAUUUGUACCUUGUAAGCUCGGGGGUUUGAACUUGCAACCUUCCGGUUACUAGUCCAACGCUCUAACCACUAGGCUACCCCGCCGCCCCACUAUAUUGGGAAUAGGGUGCCAUUUGAGACACACAUCCUUAGUGUUGGGAAUUCUAACCGUGAUUAACAAUGUCUCCUCCUCCUGUUGUUUCCAGCCGACACAUAGGCCACGUCAUGGCGCUCCCUGGCAGGUCCCAGGGUGUAGCCAGCGCCAGCGCCCCCACCACCCCUGUACACCGCUCCCAGGGUGUUGCCAGCGCCCCCACCACCCCUGUACACCGCACCUUUGCCACCUCAGGGGCACCACAGCUGGACUCCAAGUCUGACAGACCUUCUCUGGGGAGCUUGUUGUCCUCCUCCUACAGACAACACCAGGAGUCUCUGACUGCAGAGAGAGAGAGGAGGAGACAAGAGAGGGAGGAACGACUGCAGAAAAUCGAGAGGGAGGAGAGGACCCGCUUCAAGUGAGUCCCAACCUGCAUCACAUCACACUACUCAUAGAUGGAAUUGUCCUUUUGACGUUUACAUU